This 1235-nucleotide ribosomal RNA is filed under the name Triticum aestivum (bread wheat). RNAcentral's name for it is "partial small subunit ribosomal RNA". Lineage: Eukaryota; Viridiplantae; Streptophyta; Magnoliopsida; Poales; Poaceae. The record is from RNAcentral.
AUAUUGUUCCCACUGCCCCACUAGCAUCCUCAGCUGCUGUUUCCCUCCUGAGAAAAGAGAAAGUAUCCUUCCAAGCCACCACUUGCUUUGAUUCUUGGGGAGCAUCCGUUCCAUAGCAUCCUCAUAGCUGCCUGCAAGCAGGUUUGAGCGGCUAGCUAUAAGAACUCCCUGAUCGCAUCCGCUCUUGUUUCUUGCGAUGACCGGAGGGGAUUCCAUGGAUGCGAUCAGCCUGGACGAGUGGGAGCUCCUGCCUGACCUCGGGAGCUCCUUCUUCAUGGAGGAGUGCGCUGCUGGUGGUGGUAAGGAUCAGGAUCAGCCCUUGUUUGGGUCCGGUUUGGUCGUGAUCGACAUGGGCCACUUCACCAUCCACCCUGCAUCUCACCCUUGUACCUACUAUGAUUGCAUCCUAGAUGAAGAAGAGGCCAUGGAAGCACCGGUGCAAGCUGCCUCUACACAGCAGCAGCAUGACGUCGAAUUUGAGGACAUCGGCGUCGUGCAGGCCGAGCCGAGGCGAGUGGAGCUCACGAUGAUGGUGACCGAGGUACUGGUCUCCGGUGCAGAAGAGGAGGAAGAGAUGGCGAACACCCCUGUUGCCGAAGAGGAAGCUGGUGAUGAGGACGAGGUGAUGGUGGAAGCGGCACCUGAUCAUCUACCUCAUGAGGUGGAAGAAGGUGCGGAGAGAGACAGGGCAGGGAUGGACGCUGCUGGCUUCAGCGUCGGGAAACUGAGGGUGAACGGCGUCGGGGCGCUCUGCUCCUUCGGGGUCGCCGCUGCCACCUUGUGCAUCUUGGUGCUUGGCGGCAGGCCGCAGCAUCAGCAGCAGCAGAGGAAGAUUAUGGUGCAAGAUCAGAAGUCCCAGUUCCAGAUGUACGCCGAUGAUGAGAGAAUUCAUCGUGCCGUGGAGCAGGCGUCCAGGCUGAACCAGGCCGUGUCGUCGGUGAUGGGUGGCGCAUCCACCAGGGCGACCGUGUCGUUCGGCGGCCACUACAGCGGGUUCUGACGUGCCAGAAGCUUCUAGAAUCUGUCGACGCAUCCAUGACAUCCUAGUGUUAGGCAUAUUGAUAUUGAGAUUCUUUAUUUACAUUGGUCAGGGCCCCGUAGGCCGUAGCCUGUAUGUGUGCAUGUAUAUAUGCUUGUCUGUCAUGUACUCCGUAUUUCCUACCAGCGGAUGUGAAUAGCAUUAUUUCGGGUUGAAUUUUUUCCCGCGAAAUUACUUCAUCCACUAGGAGAUCCGC